UACUAAAUGCAGCGAGUGCAUGUUUUGGGAGUGAUUCAACACAAUUUCCAUCAAGCAACUUCUUUGCAGCAGCUAGUGAAGGGAUUUGGGAUGAUGGAGCUGCCUGUGGAAGACAAUAUUUGAUAAGUUGCAUUAGCUCUGUUUUGCCUAAAGCUUGUAAACCAGGAGAAACUAUUCAGAUCAAAAUCGUUGACCGCGCACAAAAUAUAACUUCAACACCAACAAGACAAGGAACCACUAUGGUCCUUUCUACUGCUGCUCUUGCUGCAAUUGCUGAUUCAAAUGCCCCUUCUCUUAAUAUCGAUUUCCGACAGUAAGUAAUCAUUCAUCCUCUCAUUCAAUUUAAUUAUCGUUUUCCUCAAAAAAAAGAGUAACUAAACUAAGUUUGAUUACAUGUGCUAAACAAAGUAAUUAUUACUACUACUACUACAAUUAUUGGAAAGAGAUAAAGGAAACGACAACUUUAACGUGACUUGUGCACAUGUAAGAAGUACUUUCUGCUUUUCAAUUUAUUUGUGUGCUUUUAAUUUAAAAAGAGAAAGAAAUAUUAAAAACACACUUAAAUUACGCGUGAAUUAUUAGUUUUAUUUUUAAAUUAUUGACAACUUUAAAAACAUCUCUUUACUUGACUGACCAAACUUUAAAAACACUCUCAAUCUUGCAACACGAGUGAAAUACACCCCUAAAUUCUUGUCAACUUUAGAGGUGUUUUCAGCACUUCUUUCGUCUUUUUAUUAAGAGUGUCAUGCUUCUACAAGAGUUUGAAACCAAUUGAUAUGUCAUGUAGGUGAUCGGGGGUGUAUCUAAGUUUAGUUAGUUAAGUAAAGGAGUGUUUUUAAGACGGUCAAUUGUUCAGGGACGAAACUAAUCAUUUGCGUCAAGUUGAGGGUGUUUUCAAUACUUCUCUCUUAAAAAUAAAAUAUGUAAAAUGUAUGUUAAUUUUAUGAUCUCAAAUGAAAGUAAAUAAACAAAUUGAAACACAAAAAAUACUUUAAUUAGGUUUAAGUAGUAUGGAGGAAUCUCAACCUAUAUUGUUGUGAUCGAGUGUUGCAUCAAAUCAAUUCAAAUUAAUUAUGGUCAAGUCGUAGCUAUAAAUUGAAGUGAUUGAUACGUCGAACCUAACACCUGUAGUAAUUGCAGUGGCACUGCUGCUACCCCUCAAUUUUGAUGCAAGUUGUACAUAAUAUUGACCCCGUCAAUAGACUGGAAUGACAAAAAAAAAAAAAAGGGCCCCAACUAUGAAAAAGAUGGAAAUGUGUUUAAAAGGGUAUUUAAGGAAAAGAAAUAAUGAAUGCAAAUCCUAUAUAAAUAAUCCUUUAAGAAAAUUAUGCAUUUCAAAUUUUGAACAACAUUUCAUAAAUUUAAAUGUUCUAAUUUUAACAUUGACAGAUAAGAACUCUUUGUUACUGCAGGGUCUAGAAGGAAAAAAAAACUAGUAUUUUCUUGACGCACCGUUUGGAUAAUAUUUGGUUGAAGUUGAAAAAAAGCAAAUAAACAAGUGUUUGAAGUUGAAAAGAAGCAUUUGGAAGGAAAAAAAUUGUAUUUAGACGUUAAUUUUACUUGGAAUUUUUUCUUCGAAAUUUUGGAAGUAAAUCACCAUUCACUUGAAAUGGCCCUUAAUUUUUAAAAAUUAGAAUUGAGAAGCAAAAAUACAAAAAACGAUCGUUUGAUUUGUAAAUAGUAGUACUUCAUUAUUUGCAAAUAAUUAGUGUAUAUGUACCAAAUGCAACAAUAUGUUGAGCUUGCACUUUUUACGUACCUGGGUUAUCAUUUAGUGAAUCGAUUGUAUAUUAGUAAUUAGCCAUCCAUUAUAUUUGAAACAAAUCUGUAUUUGUUCACUUUAGCAUAUCUAGAAAGGGACAAAAAAAAUUAUGUUUAAUUUUUAGCUUUAAUUGUUCACUGAAAUACAAUUUCCAAGUCUAUUAAAAAUUACUAUGUAGUAAUUAGUACGAGUAUCAUGGUAAAAUAUACAUUUCAUUUGUUAUUCUUUAACAGGGAGUUUGAUAAAUCCAUUAAAAAAGUAAAUGUGAAUGGAGGGAGUACUUCUUAUACUAUAUGCUUGGUGUAUGCAUCUUAAGGGAUCAUUUGAUACAUGAACUACAUAAUUAUCUUAAUAUAAUAGUCUUGGAAUUAUUCCUAGACUAAAUUUAUCUCACCUAAGAGAUAGAAUAAAAUAAUUUCAAGUUGAAUGUGAUAAGGUGGGAUAUUUUAGGAUUAAUCCUGAGAUUAAAUUUAUAUUGUAUUUGAUUGAUGGAAUAAUUUAUAUUGUCAUUUGUCACCAAACACAAUAUAAAUUUUAUCUCAUAAUUAAUUCUAAAAUGUCCCACCUUAUUUCACGUAUAAGAAUGUUAGUCAAUGUCUCAUCAAUGUGUUGGAAGUUAGAAAAGUUGAUCCAAUAAAUUUGAUGAAGUCAAUGUCGAGAUAAUUUUGAACAUGGAACAUCAUUUUAUGAAGUUAAGAAAAUACAGUAACAUAUAAAGGCAAACGUGCAUCGAUAGAAAACAAGGCAAGUUGUUGCUACACCUAAUAAUAAUCGGCUGGAACGUGUUUUGAGAGAAAUAAAUUAGUAUUGGCUCAAUUUAUUUGAAAAAAUAUUAGAUUAUUGUGUUUCAUUUGAAAACAUUUGAUGAUUAGGUGAAUUAUGGUUUAAAAAAAAUCAGCAAAUUUUAUUUGACUUGCUAAACUAUGGAUAACACUAAUAUAGCAGCCUUAACGAUACACCAAUUUGUGCAAUAGUUUGAAGAGUAACUUGUUGAUGAAUAAUAUAAAUUAAAAAUAGAGAACAAUAAGAUCAACCGCUCUCGAUUUGGCCGAUCCGAUUAGUUUGAAAAUUUAAGAUUGAAUAUCUAAAGACCUUUUUAGAUUGAGCAACUUUCACAGAUAGCAAACAUAAAAAUCAUAUUUGUAUGUUAUAAUUAUAGUUUGCAUAAUUGCAUUCCAUAGCAAACUUUAUGUUUGUUAUGGCUAUUAAUAUGUAUAUUUCGCUAUACAUUUAUACAAAAGAAACAAUUGUAUAAUAUGUUUCUGUAUACAUAUACAAAAACAAUCAAUUGUAUAAUUUGUGUUUGUAUAAAGCGAUAAAAGAGAGAAAGACAAAAGAAAACUGAGCAGGGAAAGAUCUGUAUUUGUAUAUUCAUAAGUGUAUAUGAUGAAAAUAUAUGUAUUUAUAUUUGUAUAUACAAUUUUCUCUCGCUUUAUACAAACACAAUGUAUACAAUUGUGUUUGUAUAAAGUGAGAGAGGCGAGUGAGAGUAGCGUGCGAGAUCAGGGAGAAGGGAGAGAGGGGAACAAAAAUAUAUGUAUAUAUACAAUUUUCUCUCGCUUUAUAAAAACACCAAUCUUAAAUCUUAGCAGAAUCUUAGUGCAUCGUACUACAAGCUUAUAUAUUUCAUUCUGAAUGAUAUAUCUUUCUUUUUUCGUUGUACUAAACGCAGCGAGUGCAUGUUUUGGGAGUGAUUCAACACAAUUUCCAUCAAGCAACUUCUUUGCAGCAGCUAGUGAAGGGAUUUGGGAUGAUGGAGCUGCCUAUGGAAGACAAUAUUUGAUAAGUUGCAUUAGCUCUGUUCUGCCUAAAGCUUGUAUACCAGGAGAAACUAUACAGAUCAAAAUCGUUGACCGCGCACAAAAUCUAACUUCAACACCAACAAGACAAGGAACCACUAUGGUCCUUUCUACUGCUGCUCUUGCAGCAAUUGCUGAUUCAAAUGCCCC
This 3711-nucleotide long non-coding RNA is filed under the name Solanum tuberosum (potato). Its description in RNAcentral is "long non-coding RNA (STUB_LNC008331)". Lineage: Eukaryota; Viridiplantae; Streptophyta; Magnoliopsida; Solanales; Solanaceae. The record is from RNAcentral.